RNAcentral lists this ribosomal RNA (406 nucleotides) under Didymium squamulosum. Its description in RNAcentral is "SSU rRNA". It matches the Rfam family "Eukaryotic small subunit ribosomal RNA", at positions 40 to 380 of the family's 1831-position model. Lineage: Eukaryota; Evosea; Eumycetozoa; Physariida; Didymiaceae. The record is from RNAcentral.
CCCAUAAGACUAAGCCAUGCAUGCCUUCGAUAAGAGGAAGCAAUUCUCUCUGAAUCUGCGAACGGCUCCGCAAACCAGUUGUAAACUAUAGCAAGCAAGCCCAGGUCCCCUUCACGGGGGGCUUGGGCAACACGGAUAACCCUGGUAAUUCUGAGGCUAAUACGAGAACGCAAUCCCUGAGCAACCGGGCAACUGGAAGCUUGGGAGGCGUGCAAGUUGUGUCGCGAGAAAUCGCCGGGAAUGGAUGCACGCCUGGACCGCGCCAAAGACAGAUGGGUGCUGCUUGCCUUCACGGGUCGGCGGUGCCUGCCUGAGCGGCUCUUGCAAUGUGCUUCUGACCUAUCAACUAGACGGCAGCAUAAGGGACAUGCUAUGGUUACAACGGGUACAGAGGAUUAGGGUUCGA